CAGGUGGCUGUGCAGUGAGUGGGUUGCUCUUUGACAAUGCGGCAUUGGACUGUCUACAGUCAUAAAAUGUUAAAAUUAUAAGAUCUAGAGAUGGGAGUAGGCAAGAAGGAGUCAACCGGGAUUGGCAAGAGGAAUGUCUAGUUUUCCAGAAAAUAAUUGGUGUCUCCGGGAAGGUGGUGAUUGACUCCGCUGUCCUGGCGUCGUGAGGGAGCUUGUUGACUGGGCUGAGCGGGAACUGUGCUUUCUCAGAGGUAGGGGGGCCAGCAGGCCAGAGGUGGAUGAGCGCAGUGCCCUCGUUUGGGUGUAGGGACUGAUCAGAGCCUGAAGGUACGUGGGGUGAGACAUUCUCACUAAUUUGUAAAUAAAG
RNAcentral lists this long non-coding RNA (367 nucleotides) under Salmo salar (Atlantic salmon). Its description in RNAcentral is "lncRNA (ENSSSAG00000102321.1, ENSSSAG00075036846.1)". The record is from RNAcentral. Lineage: Eukaryota; Metazoa; Chordata; Actinopteri; Salmoniformes; Salmonidae.